UGGCCACAGACUCCUGGCCCAGACCACAGAGGCCCACGGGAGAGACAGCCCAGGGACAGAGGAGCAAGAGCACUUGAAGGAAAAGAAAAAAAAAAGAAGAAACGAAAACCACCCUUUUUCCAAAGCAAGACUUUGCUCUCGGGCAAGCCACGUCAUGAGUAGCCCAAUGGAGAGGCCUACGUGGUGAGGAACUGAGGCCUCCAGCCAACAGCCACGUGAGCAGGCUUGGAAGUGGGUCCUCCAGGCCCAGUUAAGCCUCAGAUGACUGCAGCCCUGGCCGACAGCUUGAUUGCAGCCUCAAGAGACCCUGAAUCAGAACCACCCAGCUAAGCUGCUCCCGCAUUCCUGAGCACAGAAACUGUGUGAUAAUAAAUGGUAGUUGUUUCAAGCUGC
Molecule: long non-coding RNA, 393 nt
Organism: Bubalus bubalis (water buffalo)
Lineage: Eukaryota; Metazoa; Chordata; Mammalia; Artiodactyla; Bovidae
Exons: 2
Source: RefSeq, a predicted model, not a curated record